UAAUACAGAGGGGGCAAGCGUUGUUCGGAAUUACUGGGCGUAAAGGGCGCGUAGGCGGCCUUCUAAGUCGAACGUGAAAUCCCUGGGCUCAACCCAGGAACUGCGUCCGAUACUGGAAGGCUUGAAUCCGGGAGAGGGAUGCGGAAUUCCAGGUGUAGCGGUGAAAUGCGUAGAUAUCUGGAGGAACACCGGUGGCGAAGGCGGCAUCCUGGACCGGUAUUGACGCUGAGGCGCGAAAGCCAGGGGAGCAAACGGGAUUAGAUAC
This 265-nucleotide ribosomal RNA is filed under the name uncultured bacterium. RNAcentral describes it as "partial 16S ribosomal RNA". It matches the Rfam family "Bacterial small subunit ribosomal RNA", at positions 521 to 785 of the family's 1533-position model. The record is from RNAcentral.